RNAcentral lists this ribosomal RNA (2541 nucleotides) under Triticum aestivum (bread wheat). RNAcentral describes it as "partial small subunit ribosomal RNA". Lineage: Eukaryota; Viridiplantae; Streptophyta; Magnoliopsida; Poales; Poaceae. The record is from RNAcentral.
AUGGGUGGUUUGGGUAAGACUACUCUUACAAUGAAGGUUUAUGAAAAUAUGAAAAGCUAUUCGUGUUGUGCUUGGAUCACUGUCUCUCAGUCAUUUGUCAGGAUGGAGUUCCUCAAAGUUAUGAUCAAAAACCUUUUUGGCAGUGAAGCAUUGACGAAGCAACUUGAAGGGAAUGUAGUGAACGAAGUGAAUCUCGCCAACUAUCUUAGAGAAGAGCUACUUGAGAAGAGGUAUUUUGUUGUUCUUGAUGAUUUGUGGAACAUAGAUGAUUGGAAUUGGAUGAAAAGUGUUGUUUUUCCUAGAAGUAACAACAAAGGUAGCCGGAUAGUGGUAACAACACAAGAUCUUGGCUUAGCUAAGAACUGCACUUUGGAAUCUUCUAGCUCACUUAUCUACCGCCAUGAACCCUUAGAAACAAAUGAUGCCAUUAGUCUCCUACUUAGGAAGACUAGGAAAAGUGAGGAAGAAAUGAAAAAAUAUGGGAACAUGAGAAAAAUAAUUACUAAGAUAGUCAAAAAGUCUGGACAGUUACCCCUAGCUAUCCUCACAAUAGGAGGCAUGCUUGCCACUAGAGUGGUUGAUGAGUGGGAAAAUAUUUAUAACCAGCUCCCCUCGGAGCUAGAGAGAAACCGGAGCCUUGAAGCAAUGAAGAGGAUGGUUACUCUGAGUUACAACCACUUGCCUUCUCAUCUUAAGUCAUGUUUUCUGUAUUUAAGGUUAUUUCCCGAGGAUUUUGAAAUCAAAAGGAGGCGUCUGGUGGAAAGAUGGAUAGCCGAGGGGUUUAUUAUUGCCAGGAGUGGGGUGAGUGUUGAGGAUGUUGGGAUUAGUUACUUCAAUGACCUAAUCAACCGAAGCUUGAUUCAGCCAUCAAGAGUGAACAUAGAAGGAAUUGUCAAGAGUUGUCGAGUUCAUGAUAUUGUUCGGGAUGUCAUGAUCUCUAUUUCUAGAGAUGAAAUUUUUGCAUGGUCUACAUCAGAUAGUGUAACCGGCAUAGCAGUGGAUAACUUUCGUCAUGUGGCAUACCAAGGCAGUUGGAGCCCAAAUAGAGGCUUGAAUUGGAACCAUGUCCGAUCAUUGACUCUGUUUGGUGAGAGACCAAUGAAGCCGUCCCCUUCACUAUGUUCGCUUGACUUUAGGAUGCUUAGAGUCUUCGAUAUACAAGACGCCCAAUUUAAAAUCACACAAAAAGAUAUCAACAUUGUAUGGUCAUUACGUCAUUUGAAAUAUGUCAACAUCGGGUUUUCUUAUGAUUGUUCUUCCGAUAUUUACAAGAUCCCAAGAACCAUAGGGAAACUCCAAGGCUUGCAGACUUUGGACAUAAGAGAGAGCUUAGUCGCGUCACUACCAACUGAGAUCACUAAACUACAAAGCCUUCGUAGCCUCCGUUGCAGCAAAGAUAGUAUACAUGCUAGUUUAUUCUUACUUUACCCUGCAAACUGGUUCUUGUCCACAUUCUGUAUGCCUAUUCUGUUCACUCCUCCUUUAGUUAGUCUGGAAGAGCGUCGACGCCUAAUGAUGGAUUUUUACAUGGCCUGGACUGGUGGUUUUACCAGCUCUGAUGGUGUGAGGGUGCCCAAAGGGAUCAGCAACCUAAAGGAGUUAGAGAUACUAGAGAUUGUGGAUAUUGAACGGACCAGCAGGAAAGCAGUGAAAGAGCUCGGGGAGCUUAUAAAGCUAAGAAAGUUAAGUGUCACAGUAGGGGCAAGCAAGCAGAAGAGCAAAAUACUCUGUACAUCCCUUGAGAAGCUCACUUCCCUCCGCUCUCUUUGUCUCCGUGUGGAUGAUGGUAUAUCUGGGAGAAGCAAUGCAUCACUUAAGUGGUUGCAGUCUGUUUCCUCCCCUCCCCCUCUCCUGAGGAAGCUGACUUUGGAUGGAGAUCUUGAGGAGAUGCCUAUCUGGUUUGGGGAUCUGGUACAUUUGGUGAAGAUUGGCUUAUGGUGUAGCAAUCUGACAGAAGGUGGUGAAAGCAUGAAAACACUGGGCGCACUGCCUAAGCUCAUGCUGCUUGAUCUUGGUUGGAAAUCUUAUGUUGGGGAGAAACUGUUUUUUAGAGCAGAAACAUUCCUAGGUCUCAGGAGACUUGCUAUUUCGGGCCUGACGCAACUGACGGAGUUGACAUUUGAGGUGGGCACCUCGCCCCUAUUGGAAAAGAUAGAAAUCCGUCACUGCAGAUUGUCUUCGGGGAUUACUGGCAUCAAACACCUUCCAAAUCUCAAGGAGAUUUCAUUUGGUUCGUAUGGUAAAGUGGCAAGGCUUGGUGCGCUGCAACGUGAAGUGGACGCACAUCCCAACCAUCCCGCUCAGCGACUGCAGAGGGACGGGAACCACCACGACCUGGAUGAUGUAGUCCAACGAUCCAAUACUGCAGUACAAGCGGACGAAGCGAUGGAGGGGGAGGAAUUAUCUCUCCGUGACGACCCAGCAGCAGCUCGAGAGAGCUCCUCCUCGCAGGCGGUAGCCGUGACGACGAGGAGCGACAGCAGCCAAGAUUCUGAAGAUGAUUAUUGCUCCUGCAUUUCUGAGUACGACGACGAUGCUUGA